UGGCAUUUCUGGUAUGCUUUUUGAGGCAAGACUGGUAUGCUUACCCCAAGAGAAAGAACAGAUUCCCUGAGAAACUGCUUUCCAGGGGAGCAAGACGGAGCUAAGCAGAUGAUGCAAAUCUGCAUUCUGGUGGAGCAGGGGACAAGGAAAGGUGACAGAAGCAGGCCUGUGACAGAACUUGCUCUCACGAAGCUGACCUCGAAGUCCCACGUGUAAAACUGGUGAACACGGAGAUGGACAGACGGUGGCACACAGCGACCCGCCCCCCCCCCCCACCCCCCCCCCCCCCCCCCCCCCCCGCCCAGCAAAGUUCAAAACCACUGGUGUGCAAAGCACUUAGCCUAGCCUGGGUUUGAAUGCCGACUACCGAUUAGUGACCUUGAGCAAGCAGGCCACUCACUCCUCUGAGUUGUGCUUCCUCAUCAGCAAAAUGGGACCAACACAACCUCCCCAGCAGGGUUCCGAGGGUUUCAGAUGAUGCAUGUGCAACAGCCUAGCACACCGCAGGGCACACGGAGACCGGGAGAGGGGCGCCUGGGGGGCUCAGUCGGUUGAGCGUCGGACUCUUGAUUUCAGCUCAGGUCAUGAUCUCACAGCUCCUGGGAUCGAGUCCCAAGUUGGGCUCUGAGCUGUUGAGCAGAGCCUGCCUGAGAUUCUCUCUCUCCUUCUCUCUCUGCCACUCCCCUGAUUGUGUGGGUGUGCACAGGCUCACACAUGCACUCUCUCUCUCAAAAAAAAAAAAAAUGGGGGGGACAAACGGGCUCAAGUCUCCCCCAGCCUUCUGGCCAAAUCUGUGACUCUCUCCUCUUCACAGCCAAGCCUCUCCAAAGGGAGAUCUCCUCCCCUCACUGUCUCUAGCUCACAUCUUUUUUUUUUUUUAAUGUUUAUUUGUUUAUUUUGAGAGAGAGAAAGUGCACGCCAGCAUGGGGAGAGGCACAGAGAGAGGAGAGAGAGAGAGAAUCCCCAGCAGGCUCCACACUGUCAGCACAGAGCCCGACUCGGGGCUCGAUCCCACAAACUGAGAUCAUGACCUGAGCCAAAAUCAGGAGUUGGAUCCUUAACCGACUGAGCCCCCCAGGAGUCCCUUAUCCCCUCACUUCUAAAUCUGUCCUCAACGCUCUGCAUUCUGGUUUCCACCUCCAUCAUCCCAGCACGAUUGCUUCUACGCCGUCUCCAGCGAUGACCUUCCAGCUGCUCAGUGCAAGUCCUUAUCUUCAUUCGCUUCCUGGCCUCACUGACUCAUGUUGGCUACUUCCUACUCCUGGAAACUCUCUUCCCUCGUCUUCCAUGACCUCCUACAGCUGUGAUUGCUGGCAUUUACCAACUUGAAGUCUCAGAAAGCUUUCUUUUCACUCUGCAUUCUCUCCCCGAGUCCUUUUCUCCCUGCCCCACACCCCUGCCUGCUCCCUUCCUCACUCUGCCAGCCACACAGCCCUCCUAGCAAGGUUCCUUGAAAGAGCCAUGUUCUUCCGAGUUCUGGGAAUUCCUACAUGCCGUUCCCUCUCCAGAAACACUCUGCCCUCUGUUCUUUGCCCCCUUCACCUGGCCCACUCCCACUCAUCCUGCAGAUGUUAGUCACUGCCUUGGGGAAGACUUCCUUGCCCCUUGGGCUGGGUUAGCACUUGGCUCAUUCUGCUCCUUUUCAUAGUCCUCCUUAUACUUUUUCAAAAAAAUUUUUUAGCAUUUAUUUAUUUUUGAGAGACAGAGCAUGAGCGGGAGAGAGGCGGGGAAAGAGGAAGACAGAGAAUCCGAAGCAAGCUCCAGGCUCCGAGCUCGGACUCACGAACCUGUGAGAUCAUGACCUGAGCGGAAGUCGGAUGCUUGCCCCCGACUGAGCCACCCAGGCGCCCCUAGUCCUCAUUACACUUGAGGAAAUUAUUCCAGCAGUUAUUACAUUAAAAUCUCCCCUGCCACCACUAGACUUACAUUCCAUGAAGACAGGGACCAAGUCUGUCUUACCCACUACAGCACCCCUAGUUCCUGAUGAAUGGAGGGUGCUUAAUAAAUAGAUAUGGAUUUGGCCAUGGAAUCAUAGCUUGGCACUCAAAGGCACAAGGGACAGAACAAGAAAGAGAUAAAUUGGACUUCACCGAAAUUAAAGACUUUGGGGCCUCAAAGGAAAACGAUUGGGAAAGUAAAAAGACGACCCACAGAACAGCAGAAGAUAUUUGCAAACAUAUAUCUUGUAAGGGUCCAGUAUCUAGAGUAUAUAAAGAAUCCUACAACUCAACGACAAAAAUAUAAACAACCUGCCCUUAAAAAAUGGGCAAAGGCCUGGAACGGGCGGUUCUCUGGAGAAGAAGGGAUAUAUGCACAUAGCCGACAAGCACCUGAAAAGAUGCUCAACAUCAUUAGUCAUUAGGGAAAUGCACGUGAAGCCCAGAAUGACAUACGACUUUAUAGCCACGAGGAUGGCUGUGAUCAGAUAGAUUAUAACAAGCAUUGGACAAGGAUGCAGAGAAAUGAGAACCCUCAUUCUCCGCUGGUGGGAAUGUGAAAUGGUGCAGCCACUUUGGAAAGCAGUCUAAGAGCUCCUCAAAAAGUUGGAACGUAGAGUUACCAUAUGUGAUAUUGCGAUUUAUAGUAAAUACAUAUGUGGGGGCGCCUGGGUGGCUCAGUCGGUGAAGCGUCCGACUCUUGAUUCCGGCUCAGGUCAGGAUGUCACGGUUCGUGGGACUGAGCCCCACAUCCGGCUCCGCGCUGACAGUGUGGAGUCUGCUUGGGAUUCUCUCUCUCUCUACCCCUCCCCCGCUCACAUACACUCGCUCUUUCAUUCUCUCUCAACAUAAAUAAACUGAAAUUUAAAAAAUAUAUAUGUUGGGGCGCCUGGGUGGCUCAGCCGGUUGAGCGGCCGACUUCGGCUCAGGUCAUGAUCUCGCGGUCCGUGAGUUCAAGUCCCGCGUCAGGCUCUGUGCUGACAGCUCAGAGCCUGGAGCCUGUUUCGGAUUCUGUGUCUCCCUCUCUCUGACCCUCCCCCAUUCAUGCUCUGUCUCUCUCUGUCUCAAAAAUAAAUAAACGUUAAAAAAAUUAAAAAAUAUAUAUGUAUAUAUUUGGCCUUUGACCUUGUUCCAGGCACCGAGCAACCCUUCAAAUUUCCUGAUAAGAGUGAUAAUGGUGUCUUGUUAUGUUAAACAGGUGUCUUUUGGAAAGCCCUUAAGACAGGGCUGGUUGCCAGGGCCACCAACCCCAGGAUUACCCAAAGUAACAGAACUUUCGUACCUCCCCCAAACCUCCUGGGAGGGAAGAGGGCCUGAGGUUGAGUCAGUCCCCAAAGGCCAAUGAUUCAAUCAACCAUGGCUAUGUAAUGAAGCGUCCAUAAAGAGCCAAAAGGAAGGAAUUCUAAGAGCUUCUGGGCUGGUACACAUGUGGAGGUGCUAGGUGAGUGGCACCCUGGAGGGCACGGAAGCCCCGAGAACCCUUCCCUAUGCCUUGCCUUAAACAUUUCUUCCAUGCGUCUCUUCCUGAGUUAUACCCUUUUGUCAUAAACUAGGGAUCUAAUAAGUAAAACGUUUCUCUGAUUUCUA
Long non-coding RNA from Acinonyx jubatus (cheetah), 3524 nucleotides. RefSeq lists it as uncharacterized. The record is from RefSeq and is a predicted model, not a curated record. The transcript is spliced from 2 exons. NCBI's taxonomy places the organism in Eukaryota, Metazoa, Chordata, Mammalia, Carnivora, Felidae.